RNAcentral lists this long non-coding RNA (1768 nucleotides) under Olea europaea subsp. europaea. Lineage: Eukaryota; Viridiplantae; Streptophyta; Magnoliopsida; Lamiales; Oleaceae. The record is from RNAcentral.
UAGAAGACCGACCAUCUUGUUUUAAUGGAAUAAACGUGGCAUCUUCCUCUUAUAUACCUUAAUUAGAUCAAUUCAAAUGCGAAAAGCACCGCGUUAUUCUCUAAUUUGACUCGUUCUUCUUAUCAGACACAAUACAGAUCAAACUCUCCACUGAAUUGACAAAUGGAACGUUCCAGACUUAACUUUCAGUAUACGUCGAAUUUUCUUAGAACAGUCAAAAUUGCUGUCUCAACCCAAUCCAAACAACACAUACCCACCAACUUUCCGUUCUCCCUUCCCACCUAUUUAUACACACAAAUUUGUAAACAGAGUCAUAUUCGUACAAAUAGAGACUUUUUUCUGCUGUUGCGUUUAACAAUUAUGCAAAUGGAGGAACAACCGCAUAAGGGCACGGGAGAAGGCUAUGAUCAUCCAAUUCAUAGCCAGGUCAAGAAAGUAAAGCGUUGCUUUUGAUCUAAAAUGGUGAUUUUCUAGUUAAUAAAGCCGGUUAUAUAUGUGAUUUAUGCACAGUUUAUAUUUUUUGUACUUUAGACUUGGCUUUAUUAAUUAGAACUCGUUACGAUGCGUCUAGUCUGUAAAUAAUAUAUGAUGUAUAUAUGUGUGUGUGGUGGUAGGUUCGAUGGAACAAUUGGGUUUUUGUACAAGUUGUUCUUUUUCAUUAGUUGUCUAAUAUCAAUCUGCUGUUGAUGUUAUGUCUGAUAAUUAGAACAAUUUUAAGAUGUUUGUACAAAGAAUUUAGUAAUAUUUUGAUCAUAGAAAAUCGCUUAAACAGAUGAUUAUGGUCUUUACUGGAGUCUCUGGAAGACGAAAAGCAAUUAAUUUUAGCUUAAUAUUGUGUAAGUUUGCCGUCUUUGGACUCUUUUUGUUUGAUAAGAAACAUAUAUAGGAUACUGAAAAAUCAAAUCCAUACCUUGUGUAUGUUUUUCAAGCCAAAGCAACAAGGCAUUUCUUAAUCAAAACAGCGUAUUUUAGUUUAUGCCUGAUUUCUGUAUUGUGAAUAAGUCCUUUUUUGAUUAAAAAAAAAAUGAAGCAAGUUUACUUUUUGCAUAUAUUGUUACUUUCUGCUACAUAAUGGUAAUUGGUACACCAAACAGAUUCUAAAUAAAAUUUUAGAGACAUUACAAGAAAAUUGUCCUUUACAAUAAGCAGAAUAUAUUGUCGCGUGUCUUUUACAACGUCCACUUAUACGUUAGGGUGGUAUUAUAGAGUACACGAAUACAACAAAAGAUAAUGCACGUCAUGAAAGAUUGCAAUAUACUUGUCGUUAAUGUUUUAACACAUGCAUUUGCAACGUAAUUUUUGCACGUACGCCAAACAUAUUUUGAAUAAAAUUAUGGAGAGUCAUCUAGGAGUUGAUUUAUUCAACUGACUAUAUAAAUAUCUAAUUUUGAAAAAUACUAGCUCUUUAUAGUGAAAAAGAAAGUCAGCACUAUACCAAGGAUUCCUUCUAAAUUUCCACUUUUUGUGCGUGUGUAUACUGCAGAAGCAUUGAAUAUGUCCAAAUAUCUAGAUACUGCCCAAAAAUAAAAUUAGAGGCCUGUUAAAUCUAUCUGAUGAGCAACACAUUUUCAGGCUUCCCUUUAUGAUAAGAUUUGUUACUUACAAUAUUGGGCCUGGCCUAGGCCCAGAUUGAAUCGUUCUGUGCUCCGUGUUGGUCCAACCUAGGCCCAAAUAUUAUGGUUCGACUUUGCGGGCCUUUAUUUUCUAUUAAUAUUUUCAACAAAAAAUGGACAAAAAAUAAAAAAUAAAAUUAAAGCGCAAGACCAAG